Molecule: long non-coding RNA, 292 nt
Filed under: Durio zibethinus
Lineage: Eukaryota; Viridiplantae; Streptophyta; Magnoliopsida; Malvales; Malvaceae
Description: long non-coding RNA (DZIB_LNC001131)
Source: RNAcentral
UCGUAUUUUUUGUGAUUGUUGAUAUGCGUGGAUUGAUUUUUUGACUUGGAUUUUUCUGGAUUGGAGAUUUGGAAUAUUGGGCUGAUUUCUGAUGGGUUUGUGUAUGGGUGUGCUGGGUAUUGAGUUUUCUGGGAAGUGUUUCUAUUGAAUUGGAAAUUGCUUGGGGAGUGGCGGGUUUUCUAGGUUGAUCUUUAGGUUUAGUUUCUAGGAAUUGGCUUGGGUUUUCUGGGUUGGAGAUUGGUUUUCAGAAUAUGCGAGGCCAAUUCUGCUUUUGAUUGAAUUUGUGUUCUCU